AGUAAGAGAAAAAUGUUUAUAACGGAUCUCUAUGCAAAUAAGAAAAAGGACGUACGAAUGAACGAAAGGUUAUAGGGAAAAUAUAAAAAAGAGUUAGCAAUAGCAAUUGAAGAUCUAUAAAUAUCCGAAGGGAGACCAAGAAAAAGAAGAAACGCAGUGAAGUGAAACAUCUUAGUAACUGUAGGAAAAAAAAUCAAAAGAGAUGCGGUAAGUAGUGGUGAGCGAAAGCCGAGGAGAGUAAAAGUAGACCAUUAGAAGAAAACUGAAGAAACUAGGUGGAAAUCCAAGGCAGAAUAAGGUGAAAGUCCAGUAAGGUAAGGGACUAAUGGUAAAGAAGUAAAACGAAGAAAGGAGGAAUUUGUUUGAAAAAUGGGGGCCCACCCCCAAACUCAAUAUAUGCUUAUUUGACUGAUAGUGAACAAGUACUGUGAAGGAAAGAUGAAAAGGAAUAUAGAAGUUAUCUAUUCAGUGAAAAGACCGUGAAAUUGUAAACAUGAUGAGCAGUUGGAGUUAAGUGACAACGUACCUUUUGUAUAAUGGGUCAGCGAGUUAAUAAAUCGUAGCAAGCUUAAGGUAGUAACUAUAGGCGCAGCGAAAGCGUAUCUUAAUAGGGUGUUUCAAGAGUUACAUUUAUUAGACCCGAAACCAAGCGAUCUAAUUAUGAACACGCAUUUUAUUAUUUUUAUUUUAAUUUGGCGGAACCCGUAACUGUUGCAAAAGUUUGGGAUGAUUUGUGAUUAGGGGUGAAAGGCUAAUCAAGCUUGGUGAUAGCUGUUUUUUACGAAAUCUAUCUAGGUAGAACGGUGGUAUAUUGUUUAUUAUUAUUUGAAAAAGUCUUAAUAAACAUUAUUAAAGCAAUUUAAUAAAAGAAAAUUUAUAGAGGUAGAGCACUGAAUGGUUCAACCUAAGGUUAUUAUUUAAACUUCGAAUACUAUAAAUAAAUUGACCACUAGGCAGACUAUGAGCGCUAAGGUCCAUAGGUCUAAAGGGAAACAGCCCAGAUUGUAAGUUAAUGUUCUUAAAUAAUAGUGUAGUGUCAAAGGCAUGGAGAAAGUGAUGUUAAUUGGAAAGUAGGAUUGGAAGCGACCAUCUUUUAAAGAAAGCGUAAAAGCUCACCAAUUUAAGGCGUUCUCUAGCCAACAAUGUACAGGAACUCAACAUUAUACAGAAACUACAAAAUUAUAACAUUGGUAGUAAAAUGUUCCGUAUAAUUGUGAAGUUAACUCAAGAAGAGAUAAUGGAGUUAUCGGAAUUAAGAAUGCUGAUAUGAGUAAUGUUAAUAAGGUUAAGACCUUAUCACUGAAAAUUAGAAGUUUCCUAAUAAAAAGGUAAGCUGAUUAGGGUUACGCGAUCGCUAAGAUUAAUAUGACAAUAAACUAUCGAUGCGCAUAUAGAUUAAUAAUUCUAACGUUUUUAUUGUAGUUUUAAUUGACAUGUGUAUUUUAAAUAAUUAUAUUAUACUUACAUUAUAGAUUAUUUGAAAUAUAAGUUUUAAAAAUAGAUUAAAACAAAAUAUCUGUAAAAAGAUAUUUUAAAUAAAAAAUCGUACUUAAACCGACACUGGUUAAUUGAUAGAAUAUAUUAAAGUGUAGAAUGAAUGAUUCUGAAGGAACUCGGCAAAAUAACUCCGUAACUGCGGGAGAAGGAGAGCCUUUGUUGUAAAAAAUGAAGGUCACAGUAAAGAAGGGGUGGCGACUGUUUAAUAAAAACACAGGAUUCUGCAAAAUGGCAACAUGAUGUAUAGGGUCUGCGACCUGCCCGGUGCUCCAAGAGGAAGAGGAGAACUGCAAGGUUUGAAUUGAAGUCUGAGUAAACGGCGGCUGUAACUAUGACGGUCCUAAGGUAGCGAAAUUCCUUGUCGAGUAAUUUUCGACGCGCAUGAAUGGUGUAACGACCUCCCCACUGUCUCCAGAAUCACUUCGAUGAAAUUGAACUUUCCGUGAAGAUGCGGAAUAUUAGCAGCUAGACGGAAAGACCCUAUGCACCUUAACUUCACGCAUAUAUUGUGCAACAUUUUUAAUUACGUAGGAUACUUAUGAUGCUUAUGAUCUUUUGGUUUUGGCCAAUUUAAAGGAGGCGCUGGUGAAAUAGUAAGUAUAUUAGAAAAAUAGUACUCAAACAUGAUAAUGUAUGCCGGGUAGUUUGACUGGGGCGGUAACCUUCUAAAGAGUAACGAAGGUGUAUAAAGGUAAACUCAAAAUAAACUGGUUAGUUAUUUGGUGAGUGUAAUGGCAUAAGUUUGCUUGACUGAAAGACCUACAAGUCGAUCAGAGACGCAAGUCGAUCAUAGUGAUCCAAUAGUUCUGUGUGGAAAGGCUAUUGCUAACGGAUAAAAGGUACGCUAGGGAUAACAGGCUAGUCACAUAUUAGAGUUCAUAUCUGUUAUGUGGUUCGGCACCUCGAUGUCGGCUUAACACAUCCCGGAGUUGAAAAAGUUUCCAAGGGUUGGGGUGUUCACCCAUUAAAGUGUUACAUGAGCUGGGUUUAAAACGUCGUGAGACAGUUUGGUCCCUAUCUACUGUUAAAAACGAAAAAAUUAAAAUCCUUCCUUUAGUACGAGAGGACUGAGGUGGGUCGAUCACUGGUGUAUUAAUUAUUAUAACAAUAGUACCGUUAAGUAGCUACAUCGAAAUAUUAAUAAUAUAUAGUAUUAUUAAGAGAGAACUGCUGAAAAAAUAUUAAGUAGGAAACUUAUUUUAGAUUUUUUUAUAGUCAGGUAAAAGAUUAUUACUUUGAUAGGCUACAUAUAGAAAUGAAUAGUAAUAUAAUAUAAAAAUUUGAAAAAAUUUUUCCAUUAAUUCUAUAAUUAAUGUGAUCUUAUUUAUUAAGAUUAGUAAAGUAGUACUAAAUAUGGAUGACGUAUUUUAUUACU
This 2872-nucleotide ribosomal RNA is filed under the name Dictyostelium discoideum. Its description in RNAcentral is "LSU rRNA". It matches the Rfam family "Bacterial large subunit ribosomal RNA". The record is from RNAcentral. Lineage: Eukaryota; Evosea; Eumycetozoa; Dictyosteliales; Dictyosteliaceae.